CAGUCGCCGCGGUAACACGGAGGGCGCGAGCGUUACCCGGAUUUACUGGGCGUAAAGGGCGUGUAGGCGGCCUGGGGCGUCCCAUGUGAAAGGCCACGGCUCAACCGUGGAGGAGCGUGGGAUACGCUCAGGCUAGAGGGUGGGAGAGGGUGGUGGAAUUCCCGGAGUGGCGGUGAAAUGCGCAGAUACCGGGAGGAACGCCGAUGGCGAAGGCAGCCACCUGGUCCACUUCUGACGCUGAGGCGCGAAAGCGUGGGGAGCAAACCGGAUUAGAUACCCCCGUAGUCCCUGUCUCUUAUAC
This 301-nucleotide ribosomal RNA is filed under the name uncultured bacterium. RNAcentral describes it as "partial 16S ribosomal RNA". It matches the Rfam family "Bacterial small subunit ribosomal RNA", at positions 509 to 807 of the family's 1533-position model. The record is from RNAcentral.